GACGAACGCUGGCGGCGUGCUUAACACAUGCAAGUCGAACGGAAAGGCCCUGCUUUUGUGGGGUGCUCGAGUGGCGAACGGGUGAGUAACACGUGAGUAACCUGCCCUUGACUUUGGGAUAACUUCAGGAAACUGGGGCUAAUACCGGAUAGGAGCUCCUGCUGCAUGGUGGGGGUUGGAAAGUUUCGGCGGUUGGGGAUGGACUCGCGGCUUAUCAGCUUGUUGGUGGGGUAGUGGCUUACCAAGGCUUUGACGGGUAGCCGGCCUGAGAGGGUGACCGGCAAAAUUGGGACUGAGAUACGGCCCAGACUCCUACGGGAGGAAGCAGUGGGGAAUAUUGCACAAUGGGCGGAAGCCUGAUGCAGCAACGCCGCGUGCGGGAUGACGGCCUUCGGGUUGUAAACCGCUUUCGCCUGUGACGAAGCGUGAGUGACGGUAAUGGGUAAAGAAGCACCGGCUAACUACGUG
This 468-nucleotide ribosomal RNA is filed under the name uncultured bacterium. RNAcentral's name for it is "partial 16S ribosomal RNA". It matches the Rfam family "Bacterial small subunit ribosomal RNA", at positions 28 to 507 of the family's 1533-position model. The record is from RNAcentral.